RNAcentral lists this long non-coding RNA (665 nucleotides) under Panax ginseng (ginseng). Its description in RNAcentral is "long non-coding RNA (PGIN_LNC016267)". The record is from RNAcentral. Lineage: Eukaryota; Viridiplantae; Streptophyta; Magnoliopsida; Apiales; Araliaceae.
GACAAUAUACCAAAUAACACCUGACUCCGCAGGACAACAAUUAGUCUCAGAAGCACAAGAAAAACUCCGUGACAUUCCUAAAUCUUCCAACCCUUGAAUUAUAUCCAACAGAUUACGCAACAAAUUUGCAUUCCAGUUGACAAUCUUUCCUAUAUGGCUAAUGUAUCGAACAUGUGCUGACUGUUGAAACCCUGAAACCCAGAAGUCUCACAUACCUGAGCUAACAGCCAUCUUUGCAAUACACUUCAUUUAUUGAAUUAUUGUUUGAGUGAUAAUUAUGUCCUAACGCAGCUUUUCCACUCCCCCUCACAAUUGCUAUUUGCUCAUAUUCAACACUUCAUAUCACUUACAUUAUAAUCUUAAUUUCCCAAAAUAGUAUUUCCAUAUUUAGUUGUAUAAAGGUUUGAAUACUGAUCAAAUAAACUUUCAUAAAAGAGGGUGAAAAGAAAGAAAUAGAUAUACCAAAGUUCUUACCAGUGAAUUAUAGGGUUUUUGCACUUCGUAAUUUAACUCAACUGGAUAAGUCUGUCUCUCAAACCAGAGGUGACUACUAACGUCUAAUUUGAAGCCGAGUAAUUCGUUUAAACCCGGAAAAACACCCAGGAUCAAGAUUACCCUGAUGAGAGAAAAAGAAUCUUAAUCGAGGUGCUGGGCGAGGGUACGAU